GAUGAAGAACGUAGCGAACUGCGAUAAGUAAUGUGAAUUGCAGAAUUCAGUGAAUCAUCGAGUCUUUGAACGCACAUUGCGCCCCCUGGCAUUCCGGGGGGCAUGCCUGUCCGAGCGUCAUUGCUGCCCUUCAAGCCCGGCUUGUGUGUUGGGUCGUCGUCCCCCCCGGGGGGCGGGCCCGAAAGGCAGCGGCGGCACCGCGUCCGGUCCUCGAGCGUAUGGGGCUUUGUCACCCGCUCGAUUAGGGCCGGCCGGGCGCCAGCCGGCGUCUCCAACCUUCUAUUUUACCAGGUUGACCUCGGAUCAGGUAGGGAUACCCGCUGAACUUAAGCAUAUCAAUAAGCGGAGGA
This 350-nucleotide unclassified non-coding RNA is filed under the name soil metagenome. RNAcentral's name for it is "partial contains 5.8S ribosomal RNA, internal transcribed spacer 2, and large subunit ribosomal RNA". The stretch from base 1 to 120 matches the Rfam family "5.8S ribosomal RNA", at positions 35 to 154 of the family's 154-position model. The record is from RNAcentral.